UAAAACGUAGGGGGCGAGCGUUAUCCGGAAUCACUGGGCGUAAAGGGCGUCUAGGCGGCUCAGUAAGUCUUGUGUGAAAUCUCCCGGCUCAACUGGGAGGGUGCAUGGGAAACUGCGGAGCUAGAGACUUGGAGGGGGGUGCGGAAUUCCCGGUGGAGCGGUGAAAUGCGUUGAUAUCGGGAGGAACACCUGAGGCGAAGGCGGCACCCUGGCCAAGGUCUGACGCUGAAGCGCGAAAGCGUGGGGAGCGAACGGGAUUAGAUACCCCGGUAGUCCACGCUGUAAACGAUGACAACUAGGUGUCGGGGAUCCAAGGAUGCUCGGUGCCGCAGCUAACGCGGUAAGUUGUCCGCCUGGGGAGUACGGCCGCAAGGCUA
This 377-nucleotide ribosomal RNA is filed under the name uncultured bacterium. Its description in RNAcentral is "bacterial SSU rRNA". It matches the Rfam family "Bacterial small subunit ribosomal RNA", at positions 521 to 896 of the family's 1533-position model. The record is from RNAcentral.